UAGCAAGGGCACUGGAUAUAGAUAAGCUUAGGAAGAAUUGUUCCAGGUAGUAGGCGCCCUCAGCCGCCACCGCGUCCGCCGUGUCCCUCGCGUCCCCGGCUGCCGUCAAACCCAUGCCCAACGCCUCUUCCAGGACCCUCACGGCGGAGCUGGGCAUCCCUCGCUGAGCAGCCAUCUCUGGCGCUUCGGGCCCCCACCCCCAGCAGGCCCACAGCCGUCCCUAAGGGCAACAGCGAAGACG
This 241-nucleotide long non-coding RNA is filed under the name Homo sapiens (human). Its description in RNAcentral is "non-protein coding lnc-IKZF2-9:1". Lineage: Eukaryota; Metazoa; Chordata; Mammalia; Primates; Hominidae. The record is from RNAcentral.